GCUAUAUGAGGACACAGGGAGAAGAGAGCCAUCUACAAGCCAAGAAGCGAGCCCUCUCCAGAAACCGAUCCUGCUGGUACCUUGAUCUUGGACUUCCAGCCUCCAGAACCAGGAGAAAAUAAAUGUCUGCUGUUUAAGCCGCUCAGUCUGUGGUUUCUUCUUAUGGCAGCCCGAGAUGACUAACACACCAGUCAUGCCGGAUUUAACAGCAGGAGACAGUGCUAACGCACUGCUGAAGUGGCUCUUGAAACUUGGAGAAAGAUGGCAGAUGACAGAAGAAGGGAUCAAAAGACAGAGAAGUGGGCAUGGACCGGAGCAGGCAGAAAACCCACUGGGUGACAGCGUUCCACAAGACACCACCAAGGACGUCCCACUGACCCAGCACCGGCUUCACCAGCUCUUUGGGUUCCUCAUGGUUCCAUGUGGUUCUUCAGAGCCUCCAUUGGUGGCUCUAACCUCCCUGAGGUCCUCGGAGUGCCCUCCACUGGAGCAGUGGCUCCUCUAUCGGACCCAUUUCACUGAGGCUCAGCGAG
Molecule: long non-coding RNA, 533 nt
Filed under: Homo sapiens (human)
Lineage: Eukaryota; Metazoa; Chordata; Mammalia; Primates; Hominidae
Description: HSALNT0318035
Source: RNAcentral